UACGUAGGGGGCAAGCGUUGUCCGGAAUCAUUGGGCGUAAAGCGCGUGUAGGCGGUCCGGUAAGUCCGCUGUGAAAGUCGGGGGCUCAACCCUCGGAUGCCGGUGGAUACUGUCGGGCUUGAGUACGGAAGAGGCGAGUGGAAUUCCUGGUGUAGCGGUGAAAUGCGCAGAUAUCAGGAGGAACACCGAUGGCGAAGGCAGCUCGCUGGGACGGUACUGACGCUGAGACGCGAAAGCGUGGGGAGCGAACAGG
Molecule: ribosomal RNA, 253 nt
Filed under: uncultured bacterium
Lineage: Bacteria
Description: partial 16S ribosomal RNA
Rfam family: Bacterial small subunit ribosomal RNA
Source: RNAcentral